Molecule: microRNA, 23 nt
Filed under: Capitella teleta
Lineage: Eukaryota; Metazoa; Annelida; Polychaeta; Capitellidae
Description: Cte-Mir-10-P4_5p* (star (passenger))
Source: RNAcentral
ACCCUGUAGACCCGGGUUUAUGU